Molecule: ribosomal RNA, 409 nt
Filed under: uncultured prokaryote
Also listed under: 1 other name
Description: bacterial SSU rRNA
Rfam family: Bacterial small subunit ribosomal RNA
Source: RNAcentral
UGGGGAAUAUUGCGCAAUGGGCGAAAGCCUGACGCAGCGACGCCGCGUGGGGGAUGACGGCCUUCGGGUUGUAAACCUCUUUCAGCAGGGACGAAGCGGAAGUGACGGUACCUGCAGAAGAAGCACCGGCCAACUACGUGCCAGCAGCCGCGGUAAUACGUAGGGUGCAAGCGUUGUCCGGAAUUAUUGGGCGUAAAGAGCUCGUAGGCGGUUUGUUGCGUCGGCUGUGAAAACCUGAGGCUCAACCUCAGGCCUGCAGUCGAUACGAGCAGACUAGAGUGUUGCAGGGGAGACUGGAAUUCCUGGUGUAGCGGUGAAAUGCGCAGAUAUCAGGAGGAACACCGGUGGCGAAGGCGGGUCUCUGGGCAACAACUGACGCUGAGGAGCGAAAGCGUGGGGAGCGAACAGG